RNAcentral lists this ribosomal RNA (427 nucleotides) under uncultured bacterium. RNAcentral describes it as "partial 16S ribosomal RNA". It matches the Rfam family "Bacterial small subunit ribosomal RNA", at positions 355 to 774 of the family's 1533-position model. The record is from RNAcentral.
UGGGGAAUAUUGCACAAUGGGCGCAAGCCUGAUGCAGCCAUGCCGCGUGUAUGAAGAAGGCCUUCGGGUUGUAAAGUACUUUCAGCGAGGAGGAAGGCGUUGUGGUUAAUAACCGCAACGAUUGACGUUACUCGCAGAAGAAGCACCGGCUAACUCCGUGCCAGCAGCCGCGGUAAUACGGAGGGUGCAAGCGUUAAUCGGAAUUACUGGGCGUAAAGCGCACGCAGGCGGUCUGCCAAGUCGGAUGUGAAAUCCCCGGGCUCAACCGGGGAACUGCAUCCGAAACUGGCAGGCUAGAGUCUUGUAGAGGGGGGUAGAAUUCCAGGUGUAGCGGUGAAAUGCGUAGAGUUCUGGAGGAAUACCGGUGGCGAAGGCGGCCCCCUGGACAAAGACUGACGCUCAGGUGCGAAAGCGUGGGGAGCAAACA